RNAcentral lists this ribosomal RNA (98 nucleotides) under uncultured bacterium. RNAcentral describes it as "partial 16S ribosomal RNA". It matches the Rfam family "Bacterial small subunit ribosomal RNA", at positions 1384 to 1482 of the family's 1533-position model. The record is from RNAcentral.
UACACACCGCCCGUCACAUCAUGGGAGUUGGGUUUGCCCGAAGUCACUGACUCGACCGUAAGGGAGAGGUGCCUAAGGUAAGGCCGAUGACUGGGAUG